AUCCACUGGGGGAGCCGUGAACGGCUGAGACAAGAAGUAUCUUGGACCCUUUGAACCUGAUCUAGUUCGUACUAGCGUAGGAAAGUGGAGU
This 91-nucleotide non-coding RNA is filed under the name Paenibacillus senegalimassiliensis. RNAcentral's name for it is "TPP riboswitch (THI element)". It matches the Rfam family "TPP riboswitch aptamer (THI element)", at positions 6 to 96 of the family's 105-position model. Rfam says of the family: Vitamin B(1) in its active form thiamin pyrophosphate (TPP) is an essential coenzyme that is synthesised by coupling of pyrimidine and thiazole moieties in bacteria. The previously detected thiamin-regulatory element, thi box was extended, resulting in a new, highly conserved RNA secondary structure, the THI element, which is widely distributed in eubacteria and also occurs in some archaea. The record is from RNAcentral. Lineage: Bacteria; Bacillati; Bacillota; Bacilli; Caryophanales; Paenibacillaceae.